UGGGGGAAUCUUGGACAAUGGGGGCAACCCUGAUCCAGCCAUGCCGCGUGAGUGAUGAAGGCCUUAGGGUCGUAAAGCUCUUUCGCCUGUGAAGAUAAUGACGGUAGCAGGUAAAGAAACCCCGGCUAACUCCGUGCCAGCAGCCGCGGUAAUACGGAGGGGGGUUAGCGUUGUUCGGAAUUACUGGGCGUAAAGCGCACGUAGGCGGACCAGAAAGUUGGGGGUGAAAUCCCGGGGGCUCAACCCCGGAACUGCCUUUGAAACUGUCUGGCUAGAGUUCGGGAGAGGUGAGUGGAAUUCCAAGUGUAGAGGUGAAAUUCGUAGAUAUUUGGAGGAACACCAGUGGCGAAGGCGGCUCACUGGCUCGAUACUGACGCUGAGGUGCGAAAGUGUGGGGGAGCAAACAGGAUUAGAUACCCUGGUAGUCCACACCGUAAACGAUGAAUGCCAGUCGUCGGGUAGCAUGCUAUUCGGUGACACACCUAACGGAUUAAGCAUUCCGCCUGGGGAGUACGGUCGCAGA
Molecule: ribosomal RNA, 523 nt
Filed under: uncultured bacterium
Lineage: Bacteria
Description: bacterial SSU rRNA
Rfam family: Bacterial small subunit ribosomal RNA
Source: RNAcentral